Molecule: ribosomal RNA, 497 nt
Filed under: uncultured bacterium
Lineage: Bacteria
Description: partial 16S ribosomal RNA
Rfam family: Bacterial small subunit ribosomal RNA
Source: RNAcentral
GACGAACGCUGGCGGCGUGCCUAAUACAUGCAAGUAGAACGCUGAAGCUUGGUGCUUGCACCGAGCGGAUGAGUUGCGAACGGGUGAGUAACGCGUAGGUAACCUGCCUGGUAGCGGGGGAUAACUAUUGGAAACGAUAGCUAAUACCGCAUAAGAGUAGAUGUUGCAUGACAUUUGCUUAAAAGGUGCAAUUGCAUCACUACCAGAUGGACCUGCGUUGUAUUAGCUAGUUGGUGAGGUAACGGCUCACCAAGGCAACGAUACAUAGCCGACCUGAGAGGGUGAUCGGCCACACUGGGACUGAGACACGGCCCAGAAUCCUACGGGAGGCAGCAGUAGGGAAUCUUCGGCAAUGGACGGAAGUCUGACCGAGCAACGCCGCGUGAGUGAAGAAGGUUUUCGGAUCGUAAAGCUCUGUUGUAAGAGAAGAACGAGUGUGAGAGUGGAAAGUUCACACUGUGACGGUAUCUUACCAGAAAGGGACGGCUAACUUCGUG